This 497-nucleotide ribosomal RNA is filed under the name uncultured bacterium. Its description in RNAcentral is "partial 16S ribosomal RNA". It matches the Rfam family "Bacterial small subunit ribosomal RNA", at positions 28 to 507 of the family's 1533-position model. The record is from RNAcentral.
GACGAACGCUGGCGGCGUGCCUAAUACAUGCAAGUUGAGCGCUGAAGGUUGGUACUUGUACCAACUGGAUGAGCAGCGAACGGGUGAGUAACGCGUGGGGAAUCCGCCUUUGAGCGGGGGACAACAUUUGGAAACGAAUGCUAAUACCGCAUAAAAACUUUAAACACAAGUUUUAAGUUUGAAAGAUGCAAUUGCAUCACUCAAAGAUGAUCCCGCGUUGUAUUAGCUAGUUGGUGAGGUAAAGGCUCACCAAGGCGAUGAUACAUAGCCGACCUGAGAGGGUGAUCGGCCACAUUGGGACUGAGACACGGCCCAAACUCCUACGGGAGGCAGCAGUAGGGAAUCUUCGGCAAUGGACGAAAGUCUGACCGAGCAACGCCGCGUGAGUGAAGAAGGUGUUCGGAUCGUAAAACUCUGUUGGUAGAGAAGAACGUUGGUGAGAGUGGAAAGCUCAUCAAGUGACGGUAACUACCCAGAAAGGGACGGCUAACUACGUG